GAAGCUUAGCAGCUUACCUGAGCUUGGAUUCUAGGGGCCAACAUCUACAGCUGCAUGUACAACCUAUACUCUGUUAUUAUAUGACUAAGCAUUCUAGUUUACUUGAGUAAACUGAAAGUAAGCUGGAACACGGAAUGUUUAACCUGACGAUGUAUCUUCAGUUGUACUAUUGACAUUGUCAGGACAAGGUCUAAUCUAUUGCCGACUAUCUGGUUUACCUUACCAUCUAAUGAUAACCUUGAGUUGUUCCACUUCACUUAGUGAAAGAAUUAACCAUAUCUUUCCAGAUUUAUCUGACAGCUACUAUGAGGUUUUCACAUCCAACAAAUUAAUGUCAUCACCCUGCCUUAUACUUUAAAGUCACAUAAUUAAGAAACAGAAAUUUCCAGUUUAUAGUCAUUCUAAGUUUCUAACAGCUUAUAUUUUCAGCAUCAAUAAGAAGUUGGUCUUGGUGUAUACAGGCUGUACUUGCUUCACCUCUCCUAGUUCAAUAUACUCAUUGACAUGGGUAUAUGAAUCAUUUUAGGGAUGCAAGUGGGUUGACCCGCGAACCCGCAUAUAGGUCUAGUUUUGUUGCCACAAGCAACAAACAAAAUUGACCCUAUAUGCAGGUUCGCAGGCCAACCUACUUGCAUCCCUACUCAUUUAUCACACAUGACCACAUGAGCUCUUCACAGGAUGCAGUUCAGUAUAUCAUAAUCUUCCAACAAUCACAUAAGCAUCAGGAAAGCAUUUGACAUCAAGCAUCAGCAAGAAAAUAACGAUCAUGCAAUCAUGAGAAGAUCAACAGCAACCACACUACCAUCCAAACAAGAUCACACAUGCACAGAUGAACACCGGAUAUAUGAUUAGCAAUUUUGUAUCUAAAAUAAUUUUUGUGUGAGUUGUAUCCAGAUUGAACCUAUCAAAAAAUGUAAGCAGCAAGUGGCAUUAAGUAUUCAAAUGAUUGAACUCUGGAUCUGGAGCACCCAGAGACAAGAAAUUGCUCAAAAAUAAAUUUGAGGCCAAAAUUCCUCGUUCAUGUGCCUCCAGUUAUGACAACUUACAGUGUUAUCUUAACUUGAUCUACACAUGGAACGAUAUAUAGAACGCAUCACAUCUUAUGAAGACCAAAAAUAUGAGAAGUACUCCGUAUCGUCAGAUUGUACCAGUUAUCAAACUAUCGAUCAAGAUGACUACGAUCUGGAGUGGGACAUAAAGUAUAAUUGAAGGAUUAAGAUAUGCUGGGCAAGAGAUACAUAUGUAUGUCUACAACUUAGCUUCUUUUUGCAAUGAAAUUCUAAUGAUGAUGAUCUGGUAACUCUAGAGCAAUGCCUAAAAAUAAAUGGAGAUCCCAGAUUCCCAAAGGUAGGACCGUAGGACAACUCUUCUGGUUGCUCACUCCAGAUAAUGUGUAAUCGUUUAGAGAAACCACUAUUUUUUUUAUUUUAUGUAUUUAUUUAUUUAUUUAUUGCAAAAUUUUAAAAAGGAAGUGCACCCUUCUGUUAUGAAUCUAUCGGGACUGUGUGAGAGAACCAGG
This 1519-nucleotide long non-coding RNA is filed under the name Sorghum bicolor (sorghum). RNAcentral describes it as "long non-coding RNA (SBIC_LNC000427)". Lineage: Eukaryota; Viridiplantae; Streptophyta; Magnoliopsida; Poales; Poaceae. The record is from RNAcentral.